CCUACGGGUGGCAGCAGUGGGGAAUAUUGGGCAAUGGGCGCAAGCCUGACCCAGCAACGCCGCGUGAAGGAAGAAGGCUUUCGGGUUGUAAACUUCUUUUAUCAGGGACGAAGCAAGUGACGGUACCUGAGGAAUAAGCGACGGCUAACUACGCGCCAGCAGCCGCGGUACUACGUAGGUGGCAAGCGUUAACCGGAUUUACUGGGUGUAAAGGGCGUGUAGGCGGGACUGCAAGUCAGAUGUGAAAACCACGGGCUCAACCCAUGGCCUGCAUUUGAAACUGUAGGGCUUGAGUGCUGGAGAGGCAGACGGAAUUCCUAGUGUAGCGGUGAAAUGCGUAGAUAUUAGGAGGAACACCAGUGGCGAAGGCGGUCUGCUGGACAGCAACUGACGCUGAGGCGCGAAAGCGUGGGGAGCAAACAGGAUUAGAUACCCGGGUAGUC
This 443-nucleotide ribosomal RNA is filed under the name uncultured bacterium. RNAcentral describes it as "partial 16S ribosomal RNA". It matches the Rfam family "Bacterial small subunit ribosomal RNA", at positions 338 to 795 of the family's 1533-position model. The record is from RNAcentral.